RNAcentral lists this transfer RNA (75 nucleotides) under Fodinibius sp. Its description in RNAcentral is "tRNA-Val". It matches the Rfam family "tRNA". From Rfam's summary of the family: Transfer RNA (tRNA) molecules are approximately 80 nucleotides in length. Their secondary structure includes four short double-helical elements and three loops (D, anti-codon, and T loops). RNAcentral also lists the same sequence under 5 other names. The record is from RNAcentral. Lineage: Bacteria; Pseudomonadati; Balneolota; Balneolia; Balneolales; Balneolaceae.
GGGUGCUUAGCUCAGUUGGUUUAGAGCGCUACCCCGACACGGUAGAGGUCACUGGUUCGAAUCCAGUAGCACCCA